RNAcentral lists this unclassified non-coding RNA (2433 nucleotides) under Leishmania donovani. Its description in RNAcentral is "gene:LdHU3.35.0730(CDS-product:hypothetical_prote in_conserved)". The record is from RNAcentral. Lineage: Eukaryota; Euglenozoa; Kinetoplastea; Trypanosomatida; Trypanosomatidae.
CCAUUCCCUUUCCUAUGUCCCACCCGGCGAUACUCUCCGAGCUCACCAUAGCAAGGGGCGUGCACGCGUCAUGCCUGCCCGUGUCGAUUCCGCAUCAGCUCCCCGCCCUCGAGGUUUUCGACCAGACGCCUGUGCCGCAACGCGUUUCUACGUCUUGCACGCUCUUGCGAGUACACCGGUGCUCGGCAUAUGAGCCGGCUCGUGAGCAGGAUCGAUGUGCCGACACCGCCGCGGCGGUGGUCGUCGCAGAGUGGAGCUCGUGCCCAGAGCUCGUAGCCCCACCUGCAGGCGGCGAUGAGGCUUCUUUAUUUCUUUACCGCUAUGGCGGAGGCCCAGGUGCCAGCUUCGCAGCACCACCAUUGAACUUCGCGUGCUUUACUCAGUGGGUGGUGCUGAGAGUGCGCUGUGUGUCGCACUCAGCUAGCGCAGUUGAGCUCGAGAGCUACCGCAGCGGUGGAGAUGCCUGUCAAGAGUGGAUGGAGUGGCGUCUUCGACUGGGCACUGUCUUGUACGCCUCCGACUGGCAGUUUCUCGUGUCCCAGCAAGAGCGAAAAGAAGCAACGACUGGCAGCUCCUUCGAUCUCGGCGUCACUAGUGCGAAGAGAGAGCAAACCGUCAGAGCAGACAUGGAUGCGCUCAGCACGUUCUUUCCCGCGCUGCACCACGGUCGCUACUACGCUACAGCGCAGGCCUUUGUGCACCACUGUCGGCACAGCGACGAGCAUCUCGUCUGGUGUGAAAAAGAUCCCCUUUUAUCGGUGGAGUGGGCGGGUGUGGAGGAGGCGCAAUCAGAAGUGCCGGCACGCCAUGACGCGGGCUCCCCCACGGACAAGGAGUGCGGCAACGCUGGAGUGGAAUGUGCCUCGGUCGUUUCGCCGGAGAACGCGGAUAUGUGGCGGUCGCACGUGGGCGGAAGCCGCAAGCGCCGGCGUCGCUGGCUUUCACAGCGCGGACGCGAAUGCCCUAGUGCGCAGGCUCGCCACGACGCAGUUUCGGCAUUUAGGCAUCAUCGAUCCACCCAAGCGACCACUCUUUCUUGCUCGGUUGGCACAACCGCCGCCACCAGCACCGUGGCGCUGGACUCGAUCUGUUGUGCGUACCUUCUUGGGCUGAAGCAUCAAGACUGCCAAUCCGCAAGCGGCGAAGGGUCAGUGUCCACGGCUGCCGAAGCCCCAGCAGGCAUUCAGAAUCAGUGCAGCGAAUCUCCAAAUGUGCCGCAGCCGCCGCUGUACACCUCGAGUAAGCACGUUGAAGAAGUGCUGCAGUCGUCGUCUUACGCGCGCUGGUACCUUGCCCUGCGCCCGGCGUGCCGAUCCGCCUUUUACGUACCACGCAGCGGUCGAGCGGCCGCGGCGGCGACAGUGGAGGUGAGAGAUGCGGAAAAGGCCGCUUCCGAUGAAGUACGCCGCAGGGCUCUCCAGGAAGUAUUGCUGCACGGCAUCGCCGUCUCACUGGCACUUUGGUUUUGCACGGGCAGCAGCAGCACCUGUGACUCUGUCGAGUUGUGCGCGCUGCAGCAACGCGAGCCUUCCCGAACCCCCUUCACAACAUCCACAAGGGACGCCACCGUACUCGUUGCAGCGCUGUUGAGGGAUUGGUGGAAUCAGCUCAGCCAGGAGGCGGCUGAGUUCUUCUCUUUGUCUGCGGCAACCGCACGAGCGGGCCCGCAGCGACGAUGGAACCGUUGCUGUAUCGCCCACCAGGUGUGGGCGAGUCUUCAGAUGUGGGACUGUGCUAGCAGCCUGCGUCCUGUUGCAGCCGUGGCGCCUCCACCGGCGUCGGUGGCGCAUCUCUGUGUGGCUUGCGCAAUCGUCGUGGCACGCGUUCACCGCAGUCAAGAGCGGAUGCUGUGGUGGAAUGUGUGCGCACCAACGGUGAAACCAAGUCAAGCAUGUGCUGACGAGGCGGCCGACUGUAAUGCAUCGGCUGGAGCACGGUCAACGCGAAGCGGCACUAACGGUGGUGCUGCUGACGGCAGUGGCCGAGCGCCCAGCAUAGAUGGAGUCGCGUCAAGCAUGCGGUGCACCUCCGCGUCGUGUCGACUUCCUCGCAUGUCAGUCAAAGAGAGCCGCCGUUGGUGCGACGAUUACCGCGCAUGCAUGGACCUGGUCCUGCAGCUUCUCUUUGCCGAGCAGCAACAGCACUGGGCACCGUGAUGCAGGCAUGCAGAGCGACAGAGAUGAGUGAAGCUGCUCUCACGCACGCGGCGCGCCUCUCGCGCCAUCCUCCUAAAGUGGCAACACGAACUUUCGUUUUUCCCCGUAUUUUAACUGCUAUGUGGUUAGAGCGACGGUGUGCCUCCGGUGCUCCUUACGCACGCAGACACGCCGCACGCGCGCCUUUUCUCUGCUACUUGCCGCGCAAACGCAUGAGCGGACAGCAACAAGAAUAAAGACGCACAAAGCCGCCGCUGCACGAGCGCGUGCUACCCCG